Molecule: long non-coding RNA, 460 nt
Filed under: Rattus norvegicus (Norway rat)
Lineage: Eukaryota; Metazoa; Chordata; Mammalia; Rodentia; Muridae
Description: long non-coding RNA NONRATT033026
Source: RNAcentral
CCUUAUUCUUUAUGUGUAUGGGUGUGUUAUCUCCGUGUGCAUGUCUUAGGAGUGAAGCUCAACCAUGAAAUGCCCACCAUGGUGGAGAGGGAGUGCAGCCAUGAGAUGUCCAGCCAUGGUGAGAAUGCUCAUUGAAAACUCCAGCUGAUACCUUCAACUUCAGAGGGCUUCUAUUGGAUAUGUCCUAUUUCAGAACAACGUACCCGGGGUGGAAGAGGACGCAGAUCAAUCUAAACACCGUCAAAAUACACGGCAGUGCCUUCCAGCUGCGCACAGCAUGGGCCCACAGAUGCAGGGGCUGGAGCUGAAGCUUGCACACGGCCCAUAUCAGGAGCAGGGGCCCGAGGCCAACCCACAGUGAAACCUCACAUGGCUGGGAAGCGUACAUGGGGGCUGUCUGCUGCAGCAGAGCAUGGCUUCGGGACCACGCAGGACUGGAUUAAAGUUUUGUUUCCUCACG